UGCGUUCGGUACACUACAGGGUGUUAAGAAAAAGAUCAACUCCUGUCAUUCUUCCCCACGUCGCUUCCCACAAUAUUUAUAGUUGCUGUGGGAGAGAUGACAAAGCUUUUGCCAAUUAAAAGCACGGCCCCAAUGAAUGCUUGUAUCUACUCCACUCUGCCUCUUAUCUCUGUAUAUAAGUAAAACUGCACCAUUGUAGGCUGUUUGCGGCAAUGCAUGAAUGAGUCGUACCGCGAAUGCGUUAAUUGCGAUAAAUAUUUUCACGUGAUUAAUUUUAAAAAAUUAAUUAGCACCCGUUAACGUGAUAAAUUUGACAGCCCUACAUUUAACAAAACAAAAUAAAUGCAUUCAAUUGGGAAGAAAUGCAUAACUGAUGCUACAACAAUCUAACGAUAUACUGGCAAGCGGGGUGGCCAGUGGGGUGGCCAACCAAUUUAUAGGGGUGGCCGUGGCCACCCCUGGCCACCCCCUGGUGGCGCCACUGGUUAGGACGCGCCUCCAUGCUGGUAAUAUGAUUCACUUCCGGUCCGGCAGACUCAAUGCGGAUUGUAACGUGUGGUAGUGCUAAGCUAACUCCUUCGGUGUUUUAGAAAGAAAAUAUGGGUGCUUAUUGUUGCGUUACCGGGUGCAACAGCGUCUCCUACGACAAAAAAAAAAGGGGUUAGGAAAAAUGGACUCACUUUUCACCGUUUUCCUGCAUGGAGGACCAAAUAUCAGAUCACGAAGGUACGACGGAUGGCUGGAUUGCAGCGGUUCGUCGGAAAAGCAUCUCUUAUGAUCAUUUUUCUGCUGGAAUGAGAGUGUGUUCCUGUCAUCUCUACUCUUGCAAAAGCCAGGCGAUCCGUACGUGACCCCUGGCGGACUUCCUUUGCCGCUCUGCCGGAGUGUUGCUGGCUUCCCACUCAUUUGUCACGGUCUUCAGACUGCUCUUUUGACCGAGCCAUGAUGCACAUCAGACAAUGCUUCUCAUCAAGACAAUUCUUACCAGUCGUCCCUGACGGAGAAGCUUGGCUGUCAGUGUAGUCGGCGCAGGUUGGAACAUGACAACUGAUCACACGGCAGAUAUCUGGGACAAUGGACUCAAAGGGAGGUGUUGCAGAUGUUAAUGGCAUGACAGGACCUAUUUGGGACAAUGCAAACGUGGAUUUUAUCCUAAUUUUGCCAUAGGAAAAACCCGAACAAAUUGUAUUUUGAGGUCUGUUCAUCUGGUUUGUAUGCAUUCAUUCCAUCAUUUUAGCACUGUGACAAAAUCAAAGUUGAGUGCAAGUGUUAAGUCAGGCAGCAACAAAUCAUCAACACCUCUGGAAGAGGGUAAGCCGUGUUAAACACAAACACAACUCACGUCCCUCACUAGGGUCUCGGUUGACUGGACUUAAGAAGCACUUUGAAACGAGUCCAUCUUAAACACUGACGACAUCCAAAUGUUUGGGAGAUUUUUCUUGUUGUGGUGCAUGGCCUGGUGGAGCCGGCAUGUCGGUGGAACAUGCAGAAGGUUCCCAAACAAAGCGUAACUAUACAACAGAUGCUCCAAAAACAAGCUAGGAGACAUUUUAGCGAUAGCAUUCUUGCUAAUUUUCCGUCGCAAAAAUGUAGAUACUAUAGAGUAGAGGUGUGUUGCUGCCCAGUUUUUAUUGGCCCGAGGCAAAUAAUGAAAAUAACACUGAAGCCUGAGUUCAGCCUACAUUGUGUUGCACUUCUUAGCUUCAACUCUAGAUGGAGCUGGUCACUUAUUAGUUCAGGAGUCAAAACUAGGGAUGCUUUUGCCUAUUAAUUAAUCUAAAACAACUAGGGUUGUUCCGAUCAUGUUUUUUGCUCCCAAUCCAAUCCCGAUUGUUUUAGUUUGAGUAUCUGCUGAUCCCGAUAUUUCCCGAUCUGAUUGCUUUUUUUUUUUUUGCUCCCGAUUCAAUUCCAAUCAUUCCCGAUAAUUUUUCCCGAUCAUAUACAUUUUGGCAAUGCAUUAAGAAAAAAAUGAAUAAAACUCGGAUGAAUAUAUACCUUCAACAUACAGUACAUAAGUACUGUAUUUGUUUAUUAUGACAAUAAAUCCUCAAGAUGGCAUUUACAUUAUUAACAUUCUUUCUGUGAGAGGGAUCCACGGAUAGAAAGACUUGUAACUCUUAAAGGAUAAAUGUGACUUUGUAUAUUGUGACUAAAUAUUGCCAUCUAGUGUAUUUGUUGAGCUUUCAGUAAAUGAUACUGUAGUCAGGCCCAAAUGCAUGAUGGGAAGUGGAACCAUGACUGUGCGUAGUGCUACCAAUUGAUAUAUCUUUGCGUUGGCAAAUAACAUAAGGUGUUAAGAUAAAGAUCAAUUGCUACCUUGCUUCCCCACAUUGCUUCCCAUGAUAUUUCUAAUCGUAGGGAGAGGGAUUGUAAGGUUUUAGCCAAUUAAAAUAAUGCUCCAAAGGCUGCCAAAAUUCACUCUACUCAUUUUACGCUGCCUUUUAUCUCUAGGUAAAACGGCGCUAUUACAGAUUGAGCGCGACAAUGCGUGAGUGGGUCGUGCAGCGCAUGCAUUAAUUGCGUUAAAUAUUUUAACGUGAUACAUUUUUAAAAAAUUUAAUUACCGCUGUUAUUAGGAUAAAUUUGAUAACCCUACCUUAAGCCUAAACUAAAGACUCUGGAAGAGUGAAACAUAUGUCUGUAACGUUAAAUACAAUUAGAAAACGAUUUAAUUAAAAAAAAUUAGGGGUGUCAAACGAUUACAAUUUUUAAUCGAGUUACAGCUUAAAAAUUAAUUAAUCGCAAUUCAAACCAUCUAUAAAAUAUGCCAUAUUUUUCUGUAAAUUAUUGUUCGAAUGGAAAGAUAAGACACAAGAUGGAUAUAUACAUUCAACAUACGGUACAUAAGUACUGUAUUUCUUUAUUAUAACAAUAAAUCAACAAGAUGGCAUUACCAUUAUUAACAUUCUGUUAAAGCAAUCCAUGGAUAGAGAGACAAGUUAUAGAAAUUUUAUAUCAAAACCCCUCUUCAUGUUUUCGUUUUAAUAAAAUUUGUCAAAUUUUCAAUCAAAAAAUAAACUAGUAGCCCGCCAUUGUUGAUGUCAAUAAUUACUUACACAAUGCUAAUGGGUGCUGAAGCCUAUAAAAUCAGUCGCACCCAAGCGCCAACAGAGGGUGGCAAAACUCCGAAAAACACAACAAGUACACCUUUUACUGUGCUCUCAUUUUAAUCUGUUUGAGCGGGGCAUUUGUGCGUUAAUUGCGUCAAAUAUUUUAACGGGAUUAAUUAAAAAAAAUUAAUUACCGCUCAUUAACGCGAUAAUUUUGACAGCCUUAAAAAA
This is a long non-coding RNA of Corythoichthys intestinalis (scribbled pipefish), 3281 nucleotides long. RefSeq lists it as uncharacterized. The transcript has 4 exons. NCBI's taxonomy places the organism in Eukaryota, Metazoa, Chordata, Actinopteri, Syngnathiformes, Syngnathidae. The record is from RefSeq and is a predicted model, not a curated record.